Molecule: unclassified non-coding RNA, 356 nt
Filed under: uncultured fungus
Lineage: Eukaryota; Fungi
Description: sequence contains ITS1
Rfam family: 5.8S ribosomal RNA (bases 1-105)
Source: RNAcentral
GAAGUGCGAUAAGCAAUGCGAAUUGCAGAAUUCCGCGAAUCAUCAGAUCUUUGAACGCAAAUGGCGCCAGAGGGAUAUCCUUCCGGCAUGUCUGUUUCAGUGUCUGAGAGGUUUCACUACUAUCUUAAUGUGAUUGAUGGACUGGUGUUGGUUCACUCCUCUACCAAUAUCCAUCUCUCAUGAAAGAUGUUCGAGUGGAUCUUUGGGUCCAAUGAAGUGGUCACAUCACUCGCAUGUGAUUUCAUUGGGACAACCUAAUUAUCCGCAUGCUCGAAGUACUCUCACUAACAUUGCGCAAGCAGUGUUACACUCCACACCCUGCAUCUGAAACAGGCAAGAUCACCCGCUGAACUUAA